UACGUAGGGGGCUAGCGUUGUCCGGAAUCAUUGGGCGUAAAGAGCGCGUAGGCGGCUAGAUAAGUCCGGUGUGAAAGUCACAGGCUCAACCUGUGAAUGCCGCUGGAAACUGUCUGGCUAGAGUCCGGAAGGGGCGAGUGGAAUUCCUGGUGUAGCGGUGAAAUGCGCAGAUUUCAGGAGGAACACCAAUGGCGAAGGCAGCUCGCUGGGACGGUACUGACGCUGAGGCGCGAAAGCGUGGGGAGCAAACAGG
This 253-nucleotide ribosomal RNA is filed under the name uncultured bacterium. RNAcentral's name for it is "partial 16S ribosomal RNA". It matches the Rfam family "Bacterial small subunit ribosomal RNA", at positions 524 to 776 of the family's 1533-position model. The record is from RNAcentral.